CAACGACGAAAACCUUACCUACCCUUGACAUGCCACUAACGAAGCAGAGAUGCAAAGUUAGGUGACCGAAAGGGAAGUGGACACAGGUGCUGCAUGGCUGUCGUCAGCUCGUGUCGUGAGAUGUUGGGUUAAGUCCCGCAACGAGCGCAACCCUUGCCGAUAGUUGCUACGAAAGGGCACUCUAUCGGGACUGCCGGUGACAAACCGGAGGAAGGUGGGGAUGACGUCAAAUCCUCAUGGCCCUUAUGGGUAGGGCUUCACACGUCAUACAAUGGUCGGUACAGAGGGCUGCCAACCCGCGAGGGGGAGCUAAUCCCAGAAAACCGAUCGUAGUCCGGAUUGCAGUCUGCAACUCGACUGCAUGAAGUCGGAAUCGCUAGUAAUCGCGGAUCAGCAUGUCGCGGUGAAUACGUUCCCGGGUCUU
Molecule: ribosomal RNA, 424 nt
Filed under: uncultured Alcaligenaceae bacterium
Lineage: Bacteria; Pseudomonadati; Pseudomonadota; Betaproteobacteria; Burkholderiales; Alcaligenaceae
Description: bacterial SSU rRNA
Rfam family: Bacterial small subunit ribosomal RNA
Source: RNAcentral